CUGACGCGCCCCCAUCAGCUGCUUCGGCCGCUCGUUGCCUGACGAAGAAGAAGAAGCCCCGGGAUCUGAACGCGAUGGGAUCGCCGCACGAUAACCGAGCGUGCCGGCGACUUUUCGACGACGGCGGAGACCCUGCUACCAGGCGCACGUUGGACAAGAUGCAGGAGGACAGCUCGCGCUCCUGGAACUACGACUUCGGACGGGACCGACCGAUGCAGGGCCGGUACCAGUGGCAGCGCUGCGGGGACGACGACAAGCGGACGUCGUCGCAGUGGCGCUGCUGGGGCGACGCGUCGCCCGGUUCAGAUUCACGCAGACAGAAAGACAAGAGCUGUUCUUUCAAAGGAAGAUGUGACGACGUGAUUGGGCGGUCCCAGAUGACAGGGAGGACACCGUACUGACAACCGUUGACUGACGUCAGCGGAAAACAUGGACUUUCCAGACAGGGCAAGUCAUGCGAGCUCGCCUUUCCUGGUCUCAAAGCACCACAGGUGUUCAUCCGCUCAGAGCCUCCUUACAUCACCAAUGUUCGAUGAAAAACAAUGUGCUUUUCUGCAAAAAAAAAAAUUAUACGGACGCCUCAGCUACCACAUAAGCUCAAAGUUCCGUGACAGCUCACAAAAGGUGUGCUAUAAUUUGUAUUGUGUUUCGUUAUACUAGACCGGCUUACAUGUCAUAUUACACACAGCAAUACUGAACUUGAACAAAAUGCCUGAAACCUUGCAAUGUGAUGGCACCGUUAUCCAGGCGCUACAACUUCCUAUCCACUUGAUAAAACGCUUCUUGCGCUGUACAAGCAUGUUGAUUCCUAAUCACGAUUCAUGCACUGUAAUCGAAAAUUUGUUCUAGUACUUCAACAGUACUUUAUCUAUGAAUAACUACUUCAAACGGUCCCUUGCGAGAAUAUUUUCACGGUGACUGCAUAGAGAAAUAAUCCUGCAUCUAUGUACCAACCUCCCCACAAGUGCACAUGAUGUACAGAGAGUUUUAGCUACGCCAAAAAAGAAGUUUGAUUCGAAAAACUGCAACAAAAAGAUGGUGCGUGUGCUUAGAUGCAAGUGCACAUUAAAUAACUUAAGACACUGUAAAGACGUGUCUAGUAAUUCAUGCUACGGUUCAGGCUCCAAUAGUGCUAGAAUUUGGCUAUAUUGUUUGUUCAGGAAUAGAAAGUUCUGGUAGAUGCGGCGACUACGUUUCUGUAGCUCUCCUGAUCAAUAUUUGUUUUUGUUUCUUUUGCUGCUGUGGGAUAUUCAGUUGGAACAAGCUCGCUUCUUCCUCUCUAAUUUGACGAAGUUACGUAGGCAAUGCAGACCUUCACAGAAGGAUCUUUAUUAAAGGAACAUUACACAAAUAAGACUUUGCAGGUGCAUAUAUAUGCUCUUACGGCGCAGCGUAGACGUCACUAGAGGUAACCUGGAGUUCAUAGAGUCUGUUGCGAACUGCCAUUUUUUUGAGGAGACGUCCCAUCCGGAUGACACAGAGUUAUCAUAUUAUCGAACGAUCACUUACUUCUUUAUUCUCAUAAAGAAAUACCGUGAUCAUUAUGGGAUAUUACAUGUAUAUAGAAAUUUCAUAUUUACACAUUUUCUCUAUUUUUUGUUCUGAUCAGUAUUUUAAUGUCUGUUAUAUUUACGCAAUCGGAAGGGCAAUGUUUUUUAUUGAAAGUGUGUACAAAUCCACAACGAUCUCUGAGGCAUACGCUAGAAGAUGGUCCAGCCUUGACGAAGUGUUCUUAAGCGAUUUCGUAGUUUGAGCGUAUCCAAUCACGUCCCAUGUUUUAAUGAUUUUCUUCGCAUGUUCAGAGGUAAAAGUUCAGCAUUGCUGCCUCAUCUUCUUUUAGCAUUCAUUUAGUACUGCUAGCCUGUAUUUCAGUUCUUAAGCAGGAGUAGGUAUUGUAGAGCGGAUUAUGAAGCAGUUCAAGAUCAAUUUCGCAAUUAAUAAGAAGAAAAAUGGUAGUAAUGAAGGAGUAGGAAAAACAUUUAAUUUAAGGAUCAAACAUGGGGUGUCAGAAUGUCAUGUACUGAGCCGUGAGAAAUGUACAGGGUUGCUCAAAAGCUGCCCGACUGCGAUGCCGUAGGAUUACAUGGUAUAGCAGAGGGGAAGCUUCUGCACACCCCUGUAUGGUGGAUAAUGCUAUGGCCAACACCGAUGAUCUCACUACUUAAAAAGUACUGGUGCAUCUAAUAUAAGUCUACAUAUAGAAAGGGAUCGUGCCUAUAACAUUAAGAAAUUACGCAACGCAAGUAUAAUUAAGUCAUAAAAUGUGUAACACAGACAUGGUUUAUAGAAUGAUCGAAACAAAUACAGCAAAAGCAUAUGGGAUACACCAGCCUUUAAAGCAAUAUAUUUUUAGAGUGCAAUAGAAAAUAUUAAUAGCACAAAAAGAUUCACGCUUCUUCGCGAGCAACAUUAAGCGUGUGAAGUUAGUUAGGCUCAAGCUACUUUCGCUGACUACUUACUGUGGUCAGGUGUGACCAUCUUCAUGCGGUGUCUCCAACUUUGUGAAAACUCAAUUUGUACAGCUAUAUAUUCUUAAUGAAUUUCGAGAACAUAUAUGAGAAUACUCGCGAGAACUAUUUUUUGUUUUCUAAGCGUAUAGGUGACAUAUAAGCGUUAUUAACUGCCAAAGUAUUUUCCCGUUUGUUCUGUACUUAUCGGCUGGUGCUGGUGGAAGGUGGUGAUAUGUAGAGUCUUUUUAUGGGCUGCACAGGCGUUCACUCUGUAUAUCCCUCACACGUUAUUGUCAAUACGCCUGCUGCGUUCCUUGUUUUCUUUGUAUUUUCUUGUUUCACUGUUAAAAACAGUAGACCAGAUGUGCUGUCGAAAGCUGCGUAAGAGACUUGUUCUUAUGUACCCCCAAACAUAGAGUUUCCUAAUAUCCACUAGAGGGAACUCUGGCGCUAGUGUCUAUGGGAGCUGCAACGCACGGCGCUUCACCGAGCCUGGAAGUGAUGGGUAGCACCCACAUUUGUCUAAUUUUCGUACUUCUGGCCUGCUUCUGGCUUCGUGUGUGUACGUGUGGCUUAGAGCUGUUUUUUCACAAAAAAAUAAAUUAGCGAGUGUUCAGCGUUUGCUUUUCACAACCUUAUCCUUUUAAGCUUGCCAUUUUGAAUCGGGUCGCAAAGUUCAAAAGGGUUGACUCUUUCUUUCAAAAGAAUA
Molecule: long non-coding RNA, 3159 nt
Filed under: Rhipicephalus microplus (southern cattle tick)
Lineage: Eukaryota; Metazoa; Arthropoda; Arachnida; Ixodida; Ixodidae
Description: uncharacterized LOC119163892
Source: RNAcentral